This 59-nucleotide transfer RNA is filed under the name Durinskia baltica. RNAcentral's name for it is "partial Selenocysteine transfer RNA". The record is from RNAcentral. Lineage: Eukaryota; Dinophyceae; Peridiniales; Kryptoperidiniaceae.
CGGCGGCGAUCAGCGCCGCAAGCGAUCGGGCGGCGCGCGCGCGCGUUCGGCCAGGCCGG